UACGAAGGGUGCAAGCGUUACUCGGAAUUACUGGGCGUAAAGCGUGCGUAGGUGGUGAGUUAAGUCUGUCGUGAAAGCCCCGGGCUCAACCUGGGAAUGGCGAUGGAUACUGGCUCGCUAGAGUGCAGUAGAGGAGAGUGGAAUUCCCGGUGUAGCAGUGAAAUGCGUAGAGAUCGGGAGGAACAUCAGUUGCGAAGGCGGCUCUCUGGACCAGCACUGACACUGAGGCACGAAAGCGUGGGGAGCAAACAGG
RNAcentral lists this ribosomal RNA (253 nucleotides) under uncultured bacterium. RNAcentral describes it as "partial 16S ribosomal RNA". It matches the Rfam family "Bacterial small subunit ribosomal RNA", at positions 524 to 776 of the family's 1533-position model. The record is from RNAcentral.